RNAcentral lists this ribosomal RNA (449 nucleotides) under uncultured bacterium. RNAcentral's name for it is "bacterial SSU rRNA". It matches the Rfam family "Bacterial small subunit ribosomal RNA", at positions 28 to 471 of the family's 1533-position model. The record is from RNAcentral.
GAUGAACGCUAGCUACAGGCUUAACACAUGCAAGUCGAGGGGCAGCAUGAAGUCAGCUUGCUGACUUUGAUGGCGACCGGCGCACGGGUGAGUAACGCGUAUCCAACCUUCCCCUUACUCAGGAAUAGCCCGUUGAAAGACGGAUUAAUGCCUGAUGUUCUCAUGUUGCCGCAUGGCGAUAUGAGCAAAGAUUUAUCGGAAACGGAUAGGCUCGCGUGACAUUAGCUAGAUGGCGGGGUAACGGCCCACCAUGGCGACGAUGUCUAGGGGCUCUGAGAGGAAGGUCCCCCANACUGGUACUGAGACACGGACCAGACUCCUACGGGAGGCAGCAGUGAGGAAUAUUGGUCAAUGGUCGAGAGACUGAACCAGCCAAGUCGCGUGAGGGAAGACUGCCCUAUGGGUUGUAACCUCUUAGUCGGGAGCAAAAAGCGGACGUGUCCGCCAUU